CCUACGGGAGGCAGCAGUGGGGAAUAUUGCACAAUGGGCGAAAGCCUGAUGCAGCGACGCCGCGUGAGGGAUGACGGCCUUCGGGUUGUAAACCUCUUUCAGCAGGGAAGAAGCGUGUGGGUUCUCUCAUGCGUGACGGUACCUGCAGAAGAAGCACCGGCUAACUACGUGCCAGCAGCCGCGGUAAUACGUAGGGUGCGAGCGUUGUCCGGAAUUAUUGGGCGUAAAGAGCUCGUAGGCGGUUUGUCGCGUCGGCUGUGAAAACCUGAGGCUCAACCUCAGGCCUGCAGUCGAUACGGGCAGACUUGAGUGUUGCAGGGGAGACUGGAAUUCCUGGUGUAGCGGUGAAAUGCGCAGAUAUCAGGAGGAACACCGGUGGCGAAGGCGGGUCUCUGGGCAACAACUGACGCUGAGGAGCGAAAGCGUGGGGAGCGAACAGGAUUAGAUACCCUGGUAGUCCACGCCGUAAACGGUGGGCGCUAGGUGUGGGGCUCAUUCCACGAGUUCCGUGCCGCAGCUAACGCAUUAAGCGCCCCGCCUGGGGAGUACGGCCGCAAGGCUAAAACUCAAAUGAAUUGACGGGG
Molecule: ribosomal RNA, 584 nt
Filed under: uncultured Geodermatophilus sp.
Lineage: Bacteria; Bacillati; Actinomycetota; Actinomycetes; Geodermatophilales; Geodermatophilaceae
Description: bacterial SSU rRNA
Rfam family: Bacterial small subunit ribosomal RNA
Source: RNAcentral